This 253-nucleotide ribosomal RNA is filed under the name uncultured bacterium. RNAcentral's name for it is "partial 16S ribosomal RNA". It matches the Rfam family "Bacterial small subunit ribosomal RNA", at positions 524 to 776 of the family's 1533-position model. The record is from RNAcentral.
UACGAAGGGGGCUAGCGUUGCUCGGAAUCACUGGGCGUAAAGGGCGCGUAGGCGGCCUGAUCAGUCGGGGGUGAAAGCCUGUGGCUCAACCACAGAAUGGCCUUCGAUACUGUCGGGCUUGAGACCGGAAGAGGUAAGUGGAACUGCGAGUGUAGAGGUGAAAUUCGUAGAUAUUCGCAAGAACACCAGUGGCGAAGGCGGCUUACUGGUCCGGAUCUGAUGCUGAGGCGCGAAAGCGUGGGGAGCAAACAGG